UUUUUAAAGUUACAUACAAUUGUAAAUCUCACUUAUAUAAGGUAAUUCACAUCCGUCUACUUCAAUCAAUUAUAACUAUACAUACACAAUAUAACAAUAAUAACAAACAACAAAUAUAUAGUACAAUUUUUAAAAGGUUAAUAGUUCCGGAUUUGUCCAUUCUUUGUUUCUGCAGCAAAAUAUAUAGUAAGUUGUUCUGAUCGCAAUCGUCGUCAUUCGUUUAAAGCAGUAUUUUUGGUGGUUUUUAUCGAAGCCAAGAUCAUUAA
Molecule: non-coding RNA, 266 nt
Organism: Paramuricea clavata
Lineage: Eukaryota; Metazoa; Cnidaria; Anthozoa; Malacalcyonacea; Plexauridae
Source: the annotation of a GenBank genome assembly